CUUUGCCGGUUGCCAUAAACCCGUAGAUCCGAACUUGCGGUACGACUGCCUCACACAAGCUCGAGUCUGUGGGUAUGUGUCGACCUUGGC
This is a microRNA precursor of Sphenodon punctatus (tuatara), 90 nucleotides long. Lineage: Eukaryota; Metazoa; Chordata; Lepidosauria; Sphenodontia; Sphenodontidae. The record is from Ensembl.